AUCUGUUAUUCCAUUCUUCAGCUAUCGUUGGCUCCUUUUGACAGCGAGAACCGUCGACCGCUCCUUCACCGCUGCUGCGUUUACCCUCUAUCUUCCUUCCUCAUACUCAAUCCACUACUGCUUUAAUUCAUAUGUUGUUCUGUCAACCAAAAAGCCAGAGCCCUGUUUCUCCAACUCUCUCCUACAGCAGAACCACCGCCACCAUCAGAGCAAGGAGAACGUUACCCCCAAUGAUUACUU
Pyrus x bretschneideri (Chinese white pear) is the source of this 240-nucleotide long non-coding RNA. RefSeq lists it as uncharacterized. Lineage: Eukaryota; Viridiplantae; Streptophyta; Magnoliopsida; Rosales; Rosaceae. The transcript has 2 exons. The record is from RefSeq and is a predicted model, not a curated record.